AUGGGUGCCUUGCUGGGGACCUGCGCAAGGGAACAUUA
Molecule: ribosomal RNA, 38 nt
Filed under: Gyrodactylus kobayashii
Lineage: Eukaryota; Metazoa; Platyhelminthes; Monogenea; Gyrodactylidea; Gyrodactylidae
Description: partial 18S ribosomal RNA
Source: RNAcentral